UGGGUGAUCUGCCCUGCACUUUGGGAUAAGCCUGGGAAACUGGGUCUAAUACCGAAUAUGACUACGCACUUCCUGGUGUGUGGUGGAAAGCUUUUGCGGUGAGGGAUGGGCCCGCGGCCUAUCAGCUUGUUGGUGGGGUAACGGCUCACCAAGGCUACGACGGGUAGCUGGUCUGAGAGGACGACCAGCCACACUGGAACUGAGAUACGGUCCAGACUCCGUACGGGAGGCA
Molecule: ribosomal RNA, 232 nt
Filed under: uncultured bacterium
Lineage: Bacteria
Description: partial 16S ribosomal RNA
Rfam family: Bacterial small subunit ribosomal RNA
Source: RNAcentral